RNAcentral lists this ribosomal RNA (549 nucleotides) under uncultured bacterium. Its description in RNAcentral is "bacterial SSU rRNA". It matches the Rfam family "Bacterial small subunit ribosomal RNA", at positions 28 to 572 of the family's 1533-position model. The record is from RNAcentral.
GAUGAACGCUAGCGGCAGGCCUAACACAUGCAAGUCGAGGGGCAGCAGACCGCUUCGGUGGUGCUGGCGACCGGCGCACGGGUGAGUAUCGCGUUUGCAACCUACCCUUAACCGGGGGAUAGCCCGAAGAAAUUCGGAUUAAUACCCCAUAACAUUUGAACACGGCAUCGUGUUUUCAUUAAAGCUCCGGCGGUUAAGGAUGGGCAUGCGUGACAUUAGUUUGUUGGUGAGGUAACGGCUCACCAAGACUACGAUGUCUAGGGGGUCUGAGAGGAUGAUCCCCCACACUGGUACUGAGACACGGACCAGACUCCUACGGGAGGCAGCAGUGAGGAAUAUUGGGCAAUGGACGCAAGUCUGACCCAGCCAUGCCGCGUGCAGGAUGACGGCCCUAUGGGUUGUAAACUGCUUUUAUACAGGAAGAAACCCUUCUACGUGUAGAUGGUUGACUGUACUGUAAGAAUAAGCAUCGGCUAACUCCGUGCCAGCAGCCGCGGUAAUACGGAGGAUGCAAGCGUUAUCCGGAUUUAUUGGGUUUAAAGGGUGCGC